AUUGAACGCUGGCGGCAGGCCUAACACAUGCAAGUCGAGCGGAUGAAGGGAGCUUGCUCCUGGAUUCAGCGGCGGACGGGUGAGUAAUGCCUAGGAAUCUGCCUGGUAGUGGGGGAUAACGUCCGGAAACGGGCGCUAAUACCGCAUACGUCCUGAGGGAGAAAGUGGGGGAUCUUCGGACCUCACGCUAUCAGAUGAGCCUAGGUCGGAUUAGCUAGUUGGUGGGGUAAAGGCCUACCAAGGCGACGAUCCGUAACUGGUCUGAGAGGAUGAUCAGUCACACUGGAACUGAGACACGGUCCCGACCCCUACGGGAGGAAGCAGUGGGGAAUAUUGGACGAUGGGCCAAAGCCUGAUCCAGCCCUGCCGCGUGUGUGAAGAAGGUCUUCGGAUUGUAAAGCACUUUAAGUUUGGAGGAAGGGCAGUAAGUUAAUACCUUGCUGUUUUGACGUUACCAACAGAAUAAGCACCGGCUAACUUCGUG
Molecule: ribosomal RNA, 484 nt
Filed under: uncultured bacterium
Lineage: Bacteria
Description: partial 16S ribosomal RNA
Rfam family: Bacterial small subunit ribosomal RNA
Source: RNAcentral